Molecule: ribosomal RNA, 524 nt
Filed under: uncultured bacterium
Lineage: Bacteria
Description: bacterial SSU rRNA
Rfam family: Bacterial small subunit ribosomal RNA
Source: RNAcentral
GUUUUCGGAUCGUAAAGCUCUGUUGUAAGAGAAGAACGAGUGUGAGAGUGGAAAGUUCACACUGUGACGGUAUCUUACCAGAAAGGGACGGCUAACUACGUGCCAGCAGCCGCGGUAAUACGUAGGUCCCGAGCGUUGUCCGGAUUUAUUGGGCGUAAAGCGAGCGCAGGCGGUUAGAUAAGUCUGAAGUUAAAGGCUGUGGCUUAACCAUAGUACGCUUUGGAAACUGUUUAACUUGAGUGCAAGAGGGGAGAGUGGAAUUCCAUGUGUAGCGGUGAAAUGCGUAGAUAUAUGGAGGAACACCGGUGGCGAAAGCGGCUCUCUGGCUUGUAACUGACGCUGAGGCUCGAAAGCGUGGGGAGCAAACAGGAUUAGAUACCCUGGUAGUCCACGCCGUAAACGAUGAGUGCUAGGUGUUAGACCCUUUCCGGGGUUUAGUGCCGCAGCUAACGCAUUAAGCACUCCGCCUGGGGAGUACGACCGCAAGGUUGAAACUCAAAGGAAUUGACGGGGGCCCGCACAAG